CUACGGGUGGCUGCAGUGGGGAAUAUUGCACAAUGGACGAAAGUCUGAUGCAGCAACGCCGCGUGGAGGAUGACACAUUUCGGUGCGUAAACUCCUUUUAUAUAGGAAGAUAAUGACGGUACUAUAUGAAUAAGCACCGGCUAACUCCGUGCCAGCAGCCGCGGUAAUACGGAGGGUGCAAGCGUUACUCGGAAUUACUGGGCGUAAAGAGCGUGUAGGCGGGUUUGUAAGUUGGAUGUGAAAUCCUAUGGCUCAACCAUAGAACUGCAUCCAAAACUGCUUACCUAGAAUAUGGGAGAGGUAGAUGGAAUUUCUGGUGUAGGGGUAAAAUCCGUAGAGAUCAGAAGGAAUACCGAUUGCGAAGGCGAUCUACUGGAACAUUAUUGACGCUGAGACGCGAAAGCGUGGGGAGCAAACAGGAUUAGAUACCCUAGUAGUC
RNAcentral lists this ribosomal RNA (439 nucleotides) under uncultured bacterium. RNAcentral describes it as "partial 16S ribosomal RNA". It matches the Rfam family "Bacterial small subunit ribosomal RNA", at positions 339 to 795 of the family's 1533-position model. The record is from RNAcentral.